AUGGGCGACAAGACCUGAUCCAGCCAUGCCGCGUGAGUGAUGAAGGCCCUAGGGUUGUAAAGCUCUUUUGUACGGGAAAGAUAAUGACGGUACCGUAAGAAUAAGCCCCGGCUAACUUCGUGCCAGCAGCCGCGGUAAUACGAAGGGAGCUAGCGUUGCUCGGAAUCACUGGGCGUAAAGGGUGCGUAGGCGGGUUUUUAAGUCAGAGGUGAAAUCCUGGAGCUCAACUCCAGAACUGCCUUUGAUACUGAAAGUCUUGAGUAUGGGAGAGGUGAGUGGAACUGCGAGUGUAGAGGUGAAAUUCGUAGAUAUUCGCAAGAACACCAGUGGCGAAGGCGGCUCACUGGACCCAUUACUGACGCUGAGGCACGAAAGCGUGGGGAGCAAACAGGAUUAGAUACCCGUGGUAGUCCACGCCGUAAACGAUGAUAUGCCAGCCGUUAGUGUUGUUUACUCACUAGUGGCGCAGCUAACGCUUUAAGCAUUCCGCCUGGGGAG
This 498-nucleotide ribosomal RNA is filed under the name Bradyrhizobium sp. SCPB-8. RNAcentral describes it as "bacterial SSU rRNA". It matches the Rfam family "Bacterial small subunit ribosomal RNA", at positions 371 to 880 of the family's 1533-position model. Lineage: Bacteria; Pseudomonadati; Pseudomonadota; Alphaproteobacteria; Hyphomicrobiales; Nitrobacteraceae. The record is from RNAcentral.